This 353-nucleotide long non-coding RNA is filed under the name Vulpes vulpes (red fox). RNAcentral describes it as "lncRNA (ENSVVUG00000015650.1)". The record is from RNAcentral. Lineage: Eukaryota; Metazoa; Chordata; Mammalia; Carnivora; Canidae.
GUCUUUAAAAGCUAUAAGAAAUGCUAGAACUCAUUCAUUCUCAACCCUCUUCUCCAUGAAGGAUUAAAUUCCAUGGAAGAAUCUUUGCAUCAUCAGUAACUAAGAUGAGAACAUUGACAGGCUGCUGAUAGUAUUCCCAGAUGACAUCACCGACACACUAGAUGAUGAAGCAGAAUCCAGUAAUUCAGUUUAACAACUAUUUACUGGUCACCAAGGAGGAGUCAGUCCAGCUUAACUGCAGCAAGCUUUUAUGGAAGUCUUCUCCACGUUCUUCUUCUAGCAUAUCUAAGACUUAUAGUUUUGAGAAAGAGAUGAGAAGGAAAACAGCAAUACUUCAUAAAACAUCAAAAAAG